Molecule: non-coding RNA, 308 nt
Filed under: Tepidanaerobacter syntrophicus
Lineage: Bacteria; Bacillati; Bacillota; Clostridia; Thermosediminibacterales; Tepidanaerobacteraceae
Description: T-box sequence
Rfam family: T-box leader
About the family: Uncharged tRNA acts as the effector for transcription antitermination of genes in the T-box leader family. T-boxes are found upstream of many aminoacyl-tRNA synthetase genes and some amino acid biosynthetic genes usually in Gram-positive bacteria. The anticodon of a specific tRNA base pairs to a specifier sequence within the T-box motif, and the NCCA acceptor tail of the tRNA base pairs to a conserved bulge in the T-box antiterminator hairpin.
Source: RNAcentral
GGAAAUUCAGUGAUGGGAAAGAGUAGCUUUGGCAGAAGGUCGAAGAGAGCCGCCGGUGGUGGGAGUGCGGCACCGAAAGUCAUAGUGAAUGGGUCCCGGAGAAGGCAAGGCGAAAUAGUUUAAGUAGCUUUGCACGGCACGUCCCCCGUUAGCAAAGGACAGGAUAUCGCGAUAAUAUCGCUGUAUCUGAUAAGAGUGAGUUUUACAUUGAGGUGGCAAGCAUUUCAUCCUGAAGAUGAGAUGCUUUUGUUAUAUACACCCGAUGUAAAGCUAAUUUGGGUGGCACCACGGAAGCAACCGUCCCUGUA